Molecule: ribosomal RNA, 492 nt
Filed under: uncultured bacterium
Lineage: Bacteria
Description: partial 16S ribosomal RNA
Rfam family: Bacterial small subunit ribosomal RNA
Source: RNAcentral
AGUGAACGCUGGCGGUAGGCCUAACACAUGCAAGUCGAACGGCAGCACAGUAAGAGCUUGCUCUUACGGGUGGCGAGUGGCGGACGGGUGAGGAAUACAUCGGAAUCUACUUUUUCGUGGGGGAUAACGUAGGGAAACUUACGCUAAUACCGCAUACGACCUACGGGUGAAAGCAGGGGAUCUUCGGACCUUGCGCGAUUGAAUGAGCCGAUGUCGGAUUAGCUAGUUGGCGGGGUAAAGGCUCACCAAGGCGACGAUGCGUAGCUGGUCUGAGAGGAUGAUCAGCCACACUGGAACUGAGACACGGUCCAGACUCCUACGGGAGGCAGCAGUGGGGAAUAUUCGACAAUGGGCGCAAGCCUGAUCCAGCCAUACCGCGUGAGUGAAGAAGGCCUUCGGGUUGUAAAGCCCUGUUGUUGGGAAAGAAAAGCAGCAUGUGAAUCCCCCGCUGUCCUGACGGUACCCAAAGAAUAAGCACCGGCUAACUUCGUG